RNAcentral lists this ribosomal RNA (489 nucleotides) under Camaenidae sp. WT1. Its description in RNAcentral is "partial 12S ribosomal RNA". Lineage: Eukaryota; Metazoa; Mollusca; Gastropoda; Stylommatophora; Camaenidae. The record is from RNAcentral.
AUUUGUGCACAACUUUGUCAGUUCAUUAAGUAUAUAUAUUAUUAAUUACUGUUAAGUCCCGCUUCGUGCGUGAUUACAAUGUAGCAUCCGCUAAUAGUUUAAAAUGUAACUCGCCGGGGCUAUGAAAUUGUCUGCACCUUGAUCUGUCUUUUUGGUUAUUACCAUGGUGAUAAAACUUAUAGUGUUAUCUGACGACGACGGCAUACAAGAGUUUUUCACAGUUGUUGUACCUUGGUGGUUAUCAUUUAUCUGGUAAGUUCCCCUAAAUUAAAAUUACCGCCAUGUUGUUUAAGUUUUAACUUUGAUAGUUGUAGUACUCCGCAAGAUAUAGUAGCAUUUGUAUAAAGGGGUAUCUAAUCCCUGUUUAGCACCAAUGUUAAAGAAGUGUAACAUGCAGUUAGAGGUAGUAAUUGAUAUAUUUCACCACUUGUGUAAUAUUGCUGGCGUGUUGAGUUGCUUUUUUUUCCUACAUUACUAAAGUGUGACCGC